GAGCCACCGCCGACCAACGGCAGCACGGAAAUACUUGUCCUCAAAAUGAAUAGAGGGUCCUCAGGUUAUGAUUACUGUGAGUUGGCUGGGCUUGCAUACAAAUAAAGUAGAUUCCAGCACUAGAGCCACACAGCUCCUCCAGCACACAUACUACAUACAUAUACAAGAUACAACCCUCAUAUGCUUCAGAUUACACUACGGAAUAGAUCGAUCGAUCGAUCGAGUUCGGCACGGAACCAAGAUGAAGAUCCGCCAACCCGUUCAAAACCAAGUCCACCACCAGGGAAGGGAAGGGGGCUGCCACCAAAACAGACGGGCAAAUUCUCUGGUCAGGCCCGCCUCAGCUAUUAACUCACACUGAAUUAUCGACACAACAGGUGUCACAAGGGAAUCGGAAUUGAAUCGAUUCAACUGAAUCCAAGGAAACAUGCAGAGUUAACCGACACCGAAUUGUCGAUGACGCGAGGAUGAAGUGCUGCUAGUAGGUACCUUGAUCUUCCCUGCGGACAGAAGCUAACUCCGGCAAAACAUCAAGUGCUGCAGCAAACUGAAAAGAGAUACAGUUAGCACAGACGGCGCGCUGACAAGCCUUCCUGCAUAACAGACCGUGCGAUAUGUGCAUAAAUAUAGGCUGGCUGCACGCGCCUUUGCAACCCCAGCAAUAACCAUGCUGUUUUCAUUCCAAUACUCUGCAUUUAUACGUUUGCCCGCCUGUUACUGGUUCUGAACCAGACCGCGGUGUGCGGCGGAUCUGGUUCGAGGCCGCCAGCAGGAGCGGAGUUUUUGUGUUUCCAGAAACAGCAAGGCACUCUCGUUAUCAAGAGCACCACGGCAAUAAAACUCUUCCUUUUCCCCCCAAAAGGAGAGGAGAAAAAAUAAACUUGCGUGCGCCCAUGCUGGAAACAUGGCAUUUCUUUGGCCUCAUGUGCACAGGAUAGGAGGCUAAGGUUGAUGAUGAUUCCUUUGAGCAUAA
Molecule: long non-coding RNA, 973 nt
Filed under: Triticum aestivum (bread wheat)
Lineage: Eukaryota; Viridiplantae; Streptophyta; Magnoliopsida; Poales; Poaceae
Description: long non-coding RNA (TAES_LNC026570)
Source: RNAcentral